GAUGAACGCUAGCGGCAGGCUUAACACAUGCAAGUCGAGGGGCAGCAUGACACGGAGAUUCGUCGAAGUGUUGAUGGCGACCGGCGCAAGGGUGCGUAACGCGUGAGCAACUUGCCCGUUUCUGGGGAAUAACCGGUGGAAACGCCGACUAAUACCCCAUAGUAUAACGAAGAGGCAUCUUUUUGUUAUUAAAGAAUUUCGGAAACGGAUAGGCUCGCGUGACAUUAGCUAGAUGGCGGGGUAACGGCUCACCAUGGCUACGAUGUCUAGGGGUUCUGAGAGGAAGGUCCCCCACACUGGAACUGAGACACGGUCCAGACUCCUACGGGAGGCAGCAGUGAGGAAUAUUGGUCAAUGGUCUGACGACUGAACCAGCCAUGCCGCGUGAAGGUCACGGGCCCCUAUGGGUCUUAAACUUCUUUUGUAAGGGAGCAAUAAGGUGCACGUGUGCAUCGAUGAGAGUACCUUACGAAUAAGCAUCGGCUAACUCCGUG
This 494-nucleotide ribosomal RNA is filed under the name uncultured bacterium. RNAcentral describes it as "bacterial SSU rRNA". It matches the Rfam family "Bacterial small subunit ribosomal RNA", at positions 28 to 507 of the family's 1533-position model. The record is from RNAcentral.